RNAcentral lists this long non-coding RNA (1030 nucleotides) under Mytilus galloprovincialis (Mediterranean mussel). The record is from RNAcentral. Lineage: Eukaryota; Metazoa; Mollusca; Bivalvia; Mytilida; Mytilidae.
AUAUUCAAAUAAUGAAAACAUGCCUGUUUAAAAAUUUCAAGGCUUCAAUUUGACAGACCAUUUUGAUUAUUAUGCCCCUCAACGCUAUGCGAAAGGGCAUCACGAGCUUACCCUUGUCCGUCUGUCCGUAUAAUUGAUUUACGUUCUCUUAUAUACUUCAGUUUGUGUAAACCUAAUAUGAACUCUAUACGACAAUGCUUAUUCAACCAAACACAGAUCAAAUACGAAUUCAGGUGGCGUGGCCGUCACUUUCACCAUUUUAUAAUUAUCAUUCGGUUCCUUUAUAACAGCAAAUUAAAACAGGCCAAAAUAAUAAAGAAUACAGAAAUGAAGGAAUCCAUCCAUUACCCUCAUAUCUGAACAAGGGCUUACAUUUGAACAAUGAAUAUGUUAGUUAUUUGAUACUUAGGUGGUCAUAUGUGUUUUUUUUUUCUUUUUUUCUUUUUUUGAAAGAGACGUUUUGCGCCUCUUACCUUAUAUUUUUUUAAUACUUAUCUAUUUACAUCAAAAGCUUUAGAACUUUGGUUGUAUUGUGUUUGAAUGGCGAGAGAAGGCACGGGCAGAUUUACCUGCAGUCAAAGAUUUGAAGACAGUCUUGUAUGAGGAUCUUGAUAGGGGUAUUGAUUUCUGUAUUUUCAAAACUUCAGGCCAUCAUUGUCUGUGGGUUUUUAUGCCCCACCUACGAUAGUAGAGGGGCAUUAUGUUUUUAGGUCUGUGGGUCCGUUCGUCCGUUCGCCUGUGCGUCCGUUCGUCCCGCUUCAGGUUAAAGUUUUUGGUCAAGGUAGUUUUUGAUGAAGCUGAUGUCCAAUCAACUUCAAACUUAGUACACAUGUUCCUUAUGAUACGAUCUCUUUCUAAUUCAAAUGCUAAAUUAGAUUUUUAACCCAAUUUGACGGUCCAUUGAACAUUGAAAAUGAAAGUGCGAGUGGGGCAUCCGUGUACUUUGGACACAUUCUUGUUUCGGAUUUUUUUUUUUUGCCCGUUUUUCUACUUCAUCCCCAAUCAUUGGCUAUAUAUUCCAUAAACACCC